This 85-nucleotide transfer RNA is filed under the name Candidatus Odinarchaeum yellowstonii. Its description in RNAcentral is "tRNA-Leu". It matches the Rfam family "tRNA". From Rfam's summary of the family: Transfer RNA (tRNA) molecules are approximately 80 nucleotides in length. RNAcentral also lists the same sequence under 1 other name. Lineage: Archaea; Promethearchaeati; Candidatus Odinarchaeota; Candidatus Odinarchaeia; Candidatus Odinarchaeales; Candidatus Odinarchaeaceae. The record is from RNAcentral.
GCGAGGGUACCCGAGCCAGGUCAAAGGGGCGGGACUUAAGAUCCCGUAGCGUAGGCUUACGAGGGUUCAAAUCCCUCCCCUCGCA